GUAGGGAAUCUUGCUCAAUGGGCGAAAGCCUGACGCAGCCAUGCCGCGUGAAUGAUGAAGGUCUUAGGAUUGUAAAAUUCUUUCACCGGGGACGAUAAUGACGGUACCCGGAGAAGAAGCCCCGGAUAACUUCGUGCCAGCAGCCGCGGUACUACGAAGGGGGCUAGCGUUGCUCGGAAUUACUGUGCGUAAAGGGAGCGUAGGCGGAUAUUUUAGUCAGAGGUUAAAGCCCAGGGCUCAACCUUGGACUUGCCUUUGAUACUGUCUAUCUUGAGUAUGGAAGAGGUAUGUGGAACUCCGAGUGUAGAGGUGAAAUUCGUAGAUAUUCGGAAGAACACCAGUCGCGAAGGCGACAUACUGGUCCAUUACUGACGCUGAGGCUCGAAAGCGUGGGGAGCAAACAGGAUUAGAAACCCCGGUAGUCC
Molecule: ribosomal RNA, 425 nt
Filed under: uncultured bacterium
Lineage: Bacteria
Description: partial 16S ribosomal RNA
Rfam family: Bacterial small subunit ribosomal RNA
Source: RNAcentral